ACAGGUGAGGUAACGUAGGACCAGAGAAGUGAAGUGACUGGCCCGAAGUCACACAGCCGACGAGCGGCGGAGCCGGGAUUCGAACCCACGACCGCCGACUCCCAAACCCGGGCUCUUUCCGCCGGGCCACGCCGCUCCCGCAUUUGAGCCUACGCUGUUUCAUCGUCGUUGACGAAGGGAACGUCGUCGUUUGGCAAGCGGCGUAAUAAGACGCACACCCUGUGCCGUCGCUGUGGGUCGAAGGCCUACCACCUCCAGAAGUCGACCUGCGGCAAGUGUGGCUACCCUGCCAAACGCAAGAGAAAGUAUAACUGGAGCGCUAAGGCCAAAAGACGCAACACCACUGGCACUGGCCGGAUGAGACACCUGAAAAUCGUCUACCGCCGAUUCAGGAAUGGAUUCCGCGAGGGAACGACUCCGAAACCCAAACGAGCGGCCGUGGCGGCAUCCAGUUCGUCGUAAAGACGCGGCCGUUGGUUAAAAUAAACGAUCCCGUUUGGAAA
Molecule: RNA transcript, 503 nt
Organism: Ornithorhynchus anatinus (platypus)
Lineage: Eukaryota; Metazoa; Chordata; Mammalia; Monotremata; Ornithorhynchidae
Gene: RPL37
Gene name: ribosomal protein L37
Exons: 4
Source: RefSeq, a predicted model, not a curated record